UAUCCCACCUCUUCCACCCUCUUCUUCACGAACUGAGAUCUCUUUCGUCGUUCUCUCUAGUCUUGCCGCCGCUUGUUGCCACCGCCACCACCGCCGGUCGUUGCUGAAUUACUCCCCCUCAGUCGCUUCACACCGCCGCCGCCACUGCCCUCGAAUCUCCCGCAAUCUUGCCUUCUCUGCCCUAAGAUCGGAAAAAUCGGCAGCACCCUGUCGAUUUUCCGUCCAACCUCUCCCUCCCUCAAAUGACUUCUCGCGGCAACGACGAGUCCUCCACGAACAAGCAGAUCCGGCGGCGCUCCAUCAGAACCCGACGGAUUUCGGUGAUUUCGGCAGCGUAAGAGAUAUGGGAGGUUCUACUGUGCUUCACGGCGGAUCUGGCAUUUCCCGGUGGACGGCAGCAACGUGCACUACUUCCUACGACGGCAGCAACGUCCCCGUCGCCUAGACCGUGCACAGUAGCGUUGGUAGCACAUCUCCACUGCUGGAUCUCGUGGACAGCGGCAUUUCGAUGGUUUUCAACACAUACCUACACCCGUUCGAAGCCCGUUUUGCAAUACUUGCCCCCUUCGGCAUUGGCCCACUCUUAACCAAAGUAGUUUUAGUGUGAGUUAUUAGGACCCCGGCGGCGAGCUUAGUAGCGCAUUAGGGACGUGAUACAUGUGGGAGCGAGGGUUGAAGGAAGCAGGGUCGAGCGUUUCUGUAAUAUGUUAGCUACAUUUUGUAGUUUGACCUUUCACGUUUACACGGUCUUCCAAGAAGAGUCUGGAGAACCACGACGGGUAGCUGCUUGGAAUAUUUAAAAGAUGAUUGUUGGGCCAUUUUUUGUUGGGUUAGUAGUUGCUUGGUAUAAUUUGUUUAUGUACGGGGUUGAUGAACAUGAAAAACAUUUGUUCAUGUAUAUAUAAUUUACAAUAUGUAUAGACUUUAUAUUUGUAGGUGGGUUGGUGUACUAAUGGAUAUAUAUGUUGUUGAAUGUAAAAUACGUUACAAUUGACAGGUA
This is a long non-coding RNA of Momordica charantia (bitter melon), 1000 nucleotides long. RefSeq lists it as uncharacterized. Lineage: Eukaryota; Viridiplantae; Streptophyta; Magnoliopsida; Cucurbitales; Cucurbitaceae. The record is from RefSeq and is a predicted model, not a curated record.